UACAGAGGGGGCAAGCGUUGUUCGGAAUUACUGGGCGUAAAGGGCGCGUAGGCGGCCUUCUAAGUCGAACGUGAAAUCCCCGGGCUCAACCCGGGAACUGCGUCCGAUACUGGAAGGCUUGAAUCCGGGAGAGGGAUGCGGAAUUCCAGGUGUAGCGGUGAAAUGCGCAGAUAUCGGGAGGAACACCGGUGGCGAAGGCGGUUCUCUGGGCCUGUACUGACGCUGAGGAGCGAAAGCGUGGGGAGCGAACAGG
Molecule: ribosomal RNA, 253 nt
Filed under: uncultured bacterium
Lineage: Bacteria
Description: partial 16S ribosomal RNA
Rfam family: Bacterial small subunit ribosomal RNA
Source: RNAcentral